CGAGUUAGCGAGACAAUCGCUGCUUGUUCGUUGUAUUUAUCAUUUCGAUGUUAAAUAGACAGGGCAAGGGGAGGAAAGUCCGGGCUCCAAAGAGCAGGGUGCCAGAUAACGUCUGGGCGGCGCAAGCCGACGACAAGUGCAGCAGAGAGAAGACCGCCGAUGGCUAGCAAUAGCACAGGUAAGGCUGAAAGGGUGCGGUAAGAGCGCACCGGGCCACUGGUAACAGUUGGCAGCAGGGUAAACUCCACCCGGAGCAAGACCAAAUAGGGUUUCAUACGGCGUGGCUCGCGUUGAAACCGGGUAGGUUGCUUGAGCCUUAGAGCGAUUUAAGGCCUAGACGAAUGAUUGUCACUUUUCUACGGAAAAGACACAGAACCCGGCUUAUGUGCUAACUCAUCAA
Non-coding RNA from Thalassotalea sp. PP2-459, 400 nucleotides. It matches the Rfam family "Bacterial RNase P class A". From Rfam's summary of the family: Ribonuclease P (RNase P) is a ubiquitous endoribonuclease, found in archaea, bacteria and eukarya as well as chloroplasts and mitochondria. Its best characterised activity is the generation of mature 5'-ends of tRNAs by cleaving the 5'-leader elements of precursor-tRNAs. The record is from Rfam. NCBI's taxonomy places the organism in Bacteria, Pseudomonadati, Pseudomonadota, Gammaproteobacteria, Alteromonadales, Colwelliaceae.